UGCAACCUCAUUCCUAGGAGGUCGCUCCCACCACUCGAAGAAGUCGGAUUUCACACAAUCGAAAGUUACCAGGUCUCCGAAGCAAGUGAGACCAACUUCUUUGAGUGGUGGGAGCAACCUCCUAGGAAUGAAGUGCCGAUC
RNAcentral lists this microRNA precursor (141 nucleotides) under Olea europaea subsp. europaea. The record is from RNAcentral. Lineage: Eukaryota; Viridiplantae; Streptophyta; Magnoliopsida; Lamiales; Oleaceae.